GAUGAACGCUGGCGGCGUGCCUAAUACAUGCCAGUCGAGCGAACAGACGAGGAGCUUGCUCCUCUGACGUUAGCGGCGGACGGGUGAGUAACACGUGGAUAACCUACCUAUAAGACUGGGAUAACUUCGGGAAACCGGAGCUAAUACCGGAUAAUAUAUUGAACCGCAUGGUUCAAUAGUGAAAGACGGUUUUGCUGUCACUUAUAGAUGGAUCCGCGCCGCAUUAGCUAGUUGGUAAGGUAACGGCUUACCAAGGCAACGAUGCGUAGCCGACCUGAGAGGGUGAUCGGCCACACUGGAACUGAGACACGGUCCAGACUCCUACGGGAGGCAGCAGUAGGGAAUCUUCCGCAAUGGGCGAAAGCCUGACGGAGCAACGCCGCGUGAGUGAUGAAGGUCUUCGGAUCGUAAAACUCUGUUAUUAGGGAAGAACAAAUGUGUAAGUAACUAUGCACGUCUUGACGGUUCCUAAUCAGAAAGCCACGGCUAACUACGUG
This 497-nucleotide ribosomal RNA is filed under the name uncultured bacterium. Its description in RNAcentral is "partial 16S ribosomal RNA". It matches the Rfam family "Bacterial small subunit ribosomal RNA", at positions 28 to 507 of the family's 1533-position model. The record is from RNAcentral.